UCCUCCCUCUGGCGGCGUGCUUAACACAUGCAAGUCGAACGGAAAGGCCCUGCUUUUGUGGGGUGCUCGAGUGGCGAACGGGUGAGUAACACGUGAGUAACCUGCCCUUGACUUUGGGAUAACUUCAGGAAACUGGGGCUAAUACCGGAUAGGAGCUCCUGCUGCAUGGUGGGGGUUGGAAAGUUUCGGCGGUUGGGGAUGGACUCGCGGCUUAUCAGCUUGUUGGUGGGGUAGUGGCUUACCAAGGCUUUGACGGGUAGCCGGCCUGAGAGGGUGACCGGCCACAUUGGGACUGAGAUACGGCCCAGACUCCUACGGGAGGCAGCAGUGGAGAAUAUUGCACAAUGGGCGGAAGCCUGAUGCAGCAACGCCGCGUGCGGGAUGACGGCCUUCGGGUUGUAAACCUCUUUCGCCUGUGACGAAGCGUGAGUGACGGUAAUGGGUAAAGAAGCACCGGCUAACUACGUG
Molecule: ribosomal RNA, 468 nt
Filed under: uncultured bacterium
Lineage: Bacteria
Description: partial 16S ribosomal RNA
Rfam family: Bacterial small subunit ribosomal RNA
Source: RNAcentral